Molecule: non-coding RNA, 288 nt
Organism: Pelobates cultripes (western spadefoot toad)
Lineage: Eukaryota; Metazoa; Chordata; Amphibia; Anura; Pelobatidae
Source: the annotation of a GenBank genome assembly
GUCUAAUCAGAAGCCACGUCUUCAUGUUGGUCUGCACAGAGUGCUAAUAAUGGUGAAGAAUUGGGGGCGUGUUGCAGCAAGUUUGCCUGUGUGGAAAAGAAUGUGUAACCCAAGAAAAAAUAGCUAUAGCUAGAGGGGGAGUUUUGCUCUCUCAAAAUCAUGGUCCAUUUACCCCUCCCUCUCUGUGUCUUAUAAAGGAAUGAUGCACGUUUAGAGAACUACUUCUAGAAAGCCAUCCCUCACUUUCAGACACUUCAAAGAGUCCAUCUGGAUCUUGUGAUGACUCGG